GAUGAACGCUGGCGGCGUGCCUAAUACAUGCAAGUCGAGCGAACAGACGAGGAGCUUGCUCCUCUGACGUUAGCGGCGGACGGGUGAGUAACACGUGGAUAACCUACCUAUAAGACUGGGAUAACUUCGGGAAACCGGAGCUAAUACCGGAUAAUAUAUUGAACCGCAUGGUUCAAUAGUGAAAGACGGUUUUGCUGUCACUUAUAGAUGGAUCCGCGCCGCAUUAGCUAGUUGGUAAGGUAACGGCUUACCAAGGCAACGAUGCGUAGCCGACCUGAGAGGGUGAUCGGCCACACCGGAACUGAGACACGGUCCAGACUCCUACGGGAGGCAGCAGUAGGGAAUCUUCCGCAAUGGGCGAAAGCUUGACGGAGCAACGCCGCGUGAGUGAUGAAGGUCUUCGGAUCGUAAAACUCUGUUAUUAGGGAAGAACAAAUGUGUAAGUAACUACGCACGUCUUGACGGUACCUAAUCAGAAAGCCACGGCUAACUACGUG
This 497-nucleotide ribosomal RNA is filed under the name uncultured bacterium. RNAcentral's name for it is "partial 16S ribosomal RNA". It matches the Rfam family "Bacterial small subunit ribosomal RNA", at positions 28 to 507 of the family's 1533-position model. The record is from RNAcentral.